Long non-coding RNA from Passer domesticus (house sparrow), 1750 nucleotides. RefSeq lists it as uncharacterized. The record is from RefSeq and is a predicted model, not a curated record. The transcript has 3 exons. NCBI's taxonomy places the organism in Eukaryota, Metazoa, Chordata, Aves, Passeriformes, Passeridae.
CUGUCACAGCCCCUUGAGCAGCUCCUUAGGCAAGACUCGACCCUGAUGCCUCAGGACUUCAGCUUUUAUGUUUUUCAUCUAUUUGUAAUACUGCAGUUCUUUAGUGUGGAACUCUAAACUCCACACACAGUGUGAGCUGCUGCUUUCCCCUUUUGGGCAGACACAACAAUUCCUCUCCAGGCCUGGAAUCAAGGACACCUCACUGCCUCAGGCCCCAAGAGAUGGAAACAAAAGAGUUGGAGCAGCAAACUUGGGGCCAUCACCAGUGGCUUUAACACCACUGCUCACAAAACAAGGAGCCACUGCUGAGGGAGGGAGCAGAGGUGUCUCCUGCAGCAACAACAGAUAAAUCACCAAGUCCAGUCCACUUCCAGGCCAGUUUCCUCUUCUGAUUAUUACAAUCUUUUCUGGUUUUCCUCAACAACGUACUCAGUAGGAAUUCUGUGUGUAUGACUUCAAGCCAUAAAAUCUUCUUUCUCAUUCCUUCUUCGUCUCCUGGAUGAAAAUGCACAAAACAAUCUGAACAUCUGCAGGAGCUGUGUGUGACCUCCCAUCCUGAUGCUCCUCCUCUGGAACCUGCCCUAACAAGCCUUGUGCUCUGAUGGAUGAAACUGAAACAAUUCCCUCUUCCCAACAAAUUGAGACCCUCAAAGGGAUCCCAUCUCUUUUCAGAUGGCCCAGGUUUUGCUCACAAAACCUUGGCUUUCAUCUUGGCUAGCAGUAAUUCCAAAGGAAGGAAAACACCAAAGUAUUGUGGUCUGUCUGGAAUAUGAAAGACACUUUCUGCAGCUUCUUUGAUGUCUCAUGAAAGAAAACUGAAAGAAUACAAAUGCAAUAUCAUUAAAACAUGUUACUAAUCCUGCAGGAAUGGAGAGGCUUGAGCAUUAGAAAUUUUUGCUCAAUGCUACUUCAAACUAUGAUUUGUAAUCUAUUAAGGAGACUGUCAUGAGUAAUGGCUUGCAAUGUGACAAUGAAUUUUAAACUUUCUCAAGUGAAAUAUGGAUGACAAUUUUUUUUACACCAUUUGGAAAUAACUUCAAGUAGCAGUUGCUGGUUAGAGAACAAAAAGCCAAAUGGCAUGGUUUAGAUACACAGAAAAUGGAAGAUAAUGAUGCAUGAAAUAAAUGGAAAAGAAUUGAGGAAAACCCUGGAAAGAGGAAGGGCAGAAGAGUUUGACCCACCAGUGAGCCUGGUUCUAUUUCUAUGGAAAUGAGCUCAUUACUGCUAAUUUUUUUUUUAAGCUCCUACUUGAUUCGUGAAGUGCUGUUUGAAUUUCGAUAAGGGCUUCAUGAAUCACUGAAAAAAAACCAUUUGAACAAAAUAUCCAGAGUCAAAUGAUUACCAAUCCCAUAGAUUAAUCAGCUGUCUGAGCACUCCAUACAGCAGAGCAGCACCAGGAGAGCCAGCUUUUCCCCUGGCACCGCCAGUCCAUAGUGCUCCAUCCUGCAAAGAAGAGGGAUUGUCUUUCUGAAAUCCAAUGCUGGAUGGUUACUCCAUCCAAGAGCCUGCACUAAAAAGAAAAGAUGUCUUUGAUGUUUUUUCCCCCUGCUAUUUCCAUGUUUGUUCUGUUUUAAAAAUCAGCAUCCCAAGCAUUGGGCCUGGAAUUGCCUCUCAUCCCUGAGAAGCAGGAGGCUCUGUGGUGCCGCCACGUGUGUCACCCCUCAGCAUUGGCUGGGACACCCCAGGGUGCAGGGAACUGCUCCAGCCCAGAGCACGGCCUCCUCCUAAACCUCCAGCAUGCUGAAAUAAA